AAUGGAUUUGCAUAAGGCAGAAUAGUCUAGAAUUUAUGAGGAUUCAAGAUAGUUUAAGCUAAGAAUACAAAAAAGCUUUAUAAAUGAGGUUUAGAAAGUUAAGAGAUUCAAUUUUUGCACUUUUCUAUAAUCUUUUAUUCUGAAUCUGCAGCAGAUCAGCUGAGUGCUACUGAAAAUAGAAUAGUAAUCACAGCUCCUGCUCUGACCACCUUUUCUGAUUUGGAAUGGAUCAAUUCUGAUUCCAUUUUGAUUAAAAAGAACUGAGUCAAAGCCAGACAAAAUUACCUCGCACCUGAAUAACCAAUUUAUUUGUGUUCAAUGGUGACUUGAUCUGUGGCAAGAUAGCAAAUAGAAAAUGGUCUGCCUUCUCUCAGAUGUUGUCAGCUGAAAUCAGGGUGAUAGGGUUGAAGCAACAGGAUGAGAGAUCUCAAGCAUGCUGCUAAAUAUUGUAGUCUGACAAAACUAUAUGGCUUCCUUUAUCAAGACAGCUGUGUUUUUACAUAAAUAAUCUUAAUUUGGCCUGCUCAAGGAUUACGCCUUGUACUCCAGCACACUACCUUGAAAGGUCACCUUGACUUCCCCAAGGAGUUUACUUCAAGGCAUUCAGGAUGCCAGUCCAGAAAGCCUCACAGACUGAGGUAGAUAAGAGGGCAGUUCCCUUUGACCAGGAGUACCUGCAGGAGAAGCUUGGACAGAGCUCUGAGGAAGAAUGCAGAAGAACCACAGUCACUGAAAGUCCAGUAUUAUCUCAUUACCAUUAUUCCUACAAUAAUGCAAAAUAGCUGAAUUCCAAUUUUUCUUAGGUCGUAUGGUCCUUCAAGACAGAACUUAGCAUACGGCUGUGAGUGCAUUACUACUCUGAUUAGGAUUUGCUACUGUACUCUUAUUAGGAUGAAAGACUAUGCUGGACUGAGGCCACAAGUGAUCUGAUUCCAAUGACCACCAAACUAAAGGUCAACUUGAAGAGCAGGCAUCAAAUUUCUUUCCUUAUAGUCUACUUCAGACGUCUAUGAAAGUGUUGUUCAUGUUUGUUAACAUCUGUUGCACAGGAUUUUUUAAUCCACUUGAUAAAGCAGAUCAAAUGUUCCACUUUUUUCUCUUGCUUGACACAAAGGGAUUAAAUUCAG
This 1127-nucleotide long non-coding RNA is filed under the name Corvus moneduloides (New Caledonian crow). RNAcentral describes it as "lncRNA (ENSCMUG00000017438.1)". The record is from RNAcentral. Lineage: Eukaryota; Metazoa; Chordata; Aves; Passeriformes; Corvidae.